Molecule: microRNA precursor, 83 nt
Filed under: Bombyx mori (domestic silkworm)
Lineage: Eukaryota; Metazoa; Arthropoda; Insecta; Lepidoptera; Bombycidae
Description: mir-2807 microRNA precursor family
Rfam family: mir-2807 microRNA precursor family
Source: Rfam by way of RNAcentral
UAUCUCCUAGUUGUAUGGAAUGGGAUCGUUUGCCUAUGUUUGCCGCUAGGGGCGCUGUUCCAACUGCAUACAAAAUUGGGCUA